Molecule: ribosomal RNA, 453 nt
Filed under: uncultured Paraprevotella sp.
Lineage: Bacteria; Pseudomonadati; Bacteroidota; Bacteroidia; Bacteroidales; Prevotellaceae
Description: partial 16S ribosomal RNA
Rfam family: Bacterial small subunit ribosomal RNA
Source: RNAcentral
ACGGGAGGCAGCAGUGAGGAAUAUUGGUCAAUGGGCGCAAGCCUGAACCAGCCAAGUAGCGUGAGGGAUGACUGCCCUACGGGUUGUAAACCUCUUUUGUUUGGGAAUAAAGGAGCCUACGCGUAGGCUUUUGCAUGUACCUUUCGAAUAAGCAUCGGCUAAUUCCGUGCCAGCAGCCGCGGUAAUACGGAAGAUGCGAGCGUUAUCCGGAUUUAUUGGGUUUAAAGGGAGCGUAGGCGGCCGGUUAAGUCUGCGGUCAAAUGUCAGGGCCCAACCUUGGCAUGCCGUGGAUACUGUCCGGCUUGAGUGCACACAAGGAAGGUGGAAUUCGUCGUGUAGCGGUGAAAUGCUUAGAUAUGACGAAGAACUCCGAUUGCGAAGGCAGCUUACUGUAGCGUAACUGUCGCUGAAGCUCGAAAGUGUGGGUAUCGAACAGGAUUAGAUACCCUGGUA